UACGUAGGGUGCAAGCGUUAAUCGGAAUUACUGGGCGUAAAGCGUGCGCAGGCGGCUUGUCGCGUCGACUGUGAAAACCCGUGGCUCAACCAUGUGGUCUGCAGUCGAUACGGGCAGGCUAGAAUUCGGUAGGGGAGACUGGAAUUCCUGGUGUAGCGGUGAAAUGCGCAGAUAUCAGGAGGAACACCGGUGGCGAAGGCGGGUCUCUGGGCCGAUAUUGACGCUGAGGAGCGAAAGCGUGGGGAGCGAACAGG
RNAcentral lists this ribosomal RNA (254 nucleotides) under uncultured bacterium. RNAcentral describes it as "partial 16S ribosomal RNA". It matches the Rfam family "Bacterial small subunit ribosomal RNA", at positions 524 to 776 of the family's 1533-position model. The record is from RNAcentral.